AGUGAACGCUGGCGGUAGGCCUAACACAUGCAAGUCGAACGGCAGCACAGUAAGAGCUUGCUCUUACGGGUGGCGAGUGGCGGACGGGUGAGGAAUACAUCGGAAUCUACUUUUUCGUGGGGGAUAACGUAGGGAAACUUACGCUAAUACCGCAUACGACCUACGGGUGAAAGCAGGGGAUCUUCGGACCUUGCGCGAUUGAAUGAGCCGAUGUCGGAUUAGCUGGUUGGCGGGGUAAAGGCCCACCAAGGCGACGAUCCGUAGCUGGUCUGAGAGGAUGAUCAGCCACACUGGAACUGAGACACGGUCCAGACUCCUACGGGAGGCAGCAGUGGGGAAUAUUGGACAAUGGGCGCAAGCCUGAUCCAGCCAUACCGCGUGGGUGAAGAAGGCCUUCGGGUUGUAAAGCCCUUUUGUUGGGAAAGAAAAGCAGCAGGUUAAUACCCCGCUGUUCUGACGGUACCCAAAGAAUAAGCACCGGCUAACCUCGUG
Molecule: ribosomal RNA, 492 nt
Filed under: uncultured bacterium
Lineage: Bacteria
Description: partial 16S ribosomal RNA
Rfam family: Bacterial small subunit ribosomal RNA
Source: RNAcentral